UACGUAGGUGGCAAGCGUUGUCCGGAUUUACUGGGCGUAAAGAGCGCGCAGGCGGUCGUUCAAGUCGCGUGGGAAAGCCCCCGGCUCAACUGGGGAGGGUCACGCGAUACUGAUCGACUCGAAGGCAGGAGAGGGUAGUGGAAUUCCCGGUGUAGUGGUGAAAUGCGUAGAUAUCGGGAGGAACACCAGUGGCGAAGGCGACUACCUGGCCUGUUUCUUGACGCUGAGGCGCGAAAGCUAGGGGAGCAAACGGG
Molecule: ribosomal RNA, 254 nt
Filed under: uncultured bacterium
Lineage: Bacteria
Description: partial 16S ribosomal RNA
Rfam family: Bacterial small subunit ribosomal RNA
Source: RNAcentral